RNAcentral lists this ribosomal RNA (738 nucleotides) under uncultured Caulobacteraceae bacterium. RNAcentral describes it as "bacterial SSU rRNA". It matches the Rfam family "Bacterial small subunit ribosomal RNA", at positions 8 to 796 of the family's 1533-position model. Lineage: Bacteria; Pseudomonadati; Pseudomonadota; Alphaproteobacteria; Caulobacterales; Caulobacteraceae. The record is from RNAcentral.
AGAGUUUGAUCCUGGCUCAGAGCGAGCGCUGGCGGCAGGCUUAACACAUGCAAGUCGAGCGCCCCGCAAGGGGAGCGGCGGACGGGUGAGUAACACGUGGGAACGUGCCCUUUGGUUCGGGAUAACUGCGGGAAACUGCAGCUAACACCGGAUACGCCCUAACGGGGAAAGGUUACGCCGAAGGAGCGGCCCGCGUCUGAUUAGCUAGUUGGUGGGGUAAUGGCUCACCAAGGCGACGAUCAGUAGCUGGUCUGAGAGGAUGAUCAGCCACACUGGGACUGAGACACGGCCCAGACUCCUACGGGAGGCAGCAGUGGGGAAUCUUGCGCAAUGGGGGAAACCCUGACGCAGCCAUGCCGCGUGUAUGAUGAAGGUCUUAGGAUUGUAAAAUACUUUCACCGGGGAAGAUAAUGACGGUACCCGGAGAAGAAGCCCCGGCUAACUUCGUGCCAGCAGCCGCGGUAAUACGAAGGGGGCUAGCGUUGCUCGGAUUUACUGGGCGUAAAGGGCGCGUAGGCGGACGACCAAGUUGGGGGUGAAAGCCCGGGGCUCAACCUCGGAAUUGCCUUCAAAACUGGUCGUCUAGAGUUUGGGAGAGGUGUGUGGAACUCCGAGUGUAGAGGUGAAAUUCGUAGAUAUUCGGAAGAACACCAGUGGCGAAGGCGACACACUGGCCCAAUACUGACGCUGAGGCGCGAAAGCGUGGGGAGCAAACAGGAUUAGAUACCCCAGUAGUCC